This 468-nucleotide ribosomal RNA is filed under the name uncultured bacterium. RNAcentral describes it as "partial 16S ribosomal RNA". It matches the Rfam family "Bacterial small subunit ribosomal RNA", at positions 28 to 507 of the family's 1533-position model. The record is from RNAcentral.
GACGAACGCUGGCGGCGUGCUUAACACAUGCAAGUCGAACGGAAAGGCCCGGCUUUUGUGGGGUGCUCGAGUUGCGAACGGGUGAGUAACACGUGAGUAACCUGCCCUUGACUUUGGGAUAACUUCAGGAAACUGGGUCUAAUACCGGAUAGGAGCUCCUGCUGCAUGGUGGGGGUUGGAAAGUUUCGGCGGUUGGGGAUGGACUCGCGGCUUAUCAGCUUGUUGGUGGGGUAGUGGCUUACCAAGGCUUUGACGGGUAGCCGGCCUGAGAGGGUGACCGGCCACAUUGGGACUGAGAUACGGCACAGCCUCCUCCGGGAGGCAGCAGUGGGGAAUAUUGCACAAUGGGAGGAAGCCUGAUGCAGCAACGCAGCGUCCGGGAUGACGGCAUUCGGGUUGUAAACCGAUUUCGCCUGUGACGAAGUGUGAGUGACGGUAAUGGGUAAAGAAGCACCGGCUAACUACGUG